RNAcentral lists this ribosomal RNA (1728 nucleotides) under Campylobacter jejuni. RNAcentral's name for it is "partial 23S ribosomal RNA". It matches the Rfam family "Bacterial large subunit ribosomal RNA", at positions 1216 to 2925 of the family's 2925-position model. The record is from RNAcentral. Lineage: Bacteria; Pseudomonadati; Campylobacterota; Epsilonproteobacteria; Campylobacterales; Campylobacteraceae.
UGUGUGCAAGUGGUAGGAGAGCGUUCUAUUUGCGUCGAAGGUAUACCGGUAAGGAGUGCUGGAGCGAAUAGAAGUGAGCAUGCAGGCAUGAGUAGCGAUAAUUAAUGUGAGAAUCAUUAACGCCGUAAACCCAAGGUUUCCUACGCGAUGCUCGUCAUCGUAGGGUUAGUCGGGUCCUAAGUCGAGUCCGAAAGGGGUAGACGAUGGCAAAUUGGUUAAUAUUCCAAUACCAACAUUAGUGUGCGAUGGAAGGACGCUUAGGGCUAAGGGGGCUAGCGGAUGGAAGUGCUAGUCUAAGGUCGUAGGAGGUUAUACAGGCAAAUCCGUAUAACAAUACUCCGAGAACUGAAAGGCUUUUUGAAGUCUUCGGAUGGAUAGAAGAACCCCUGAUGCCGUCGAGCCAAGAAAAGUUUCUAAGUUUAGCUAAUGUUGCCCGUACCGUAAACCGACACAGGUGGGUGGGAUGAGUAUUCUAAGGCGCGUGGAAGAACUCUCUUUAAGGAACUCUGCAAAAUAGCACCGUAUCUUCGGUAUAAGGUGUGGUUAGCUUCGUACUAGGAUUUACUCCGAAAGCGAAGAAACUUACAACAAAGAGUCCCUCCCGACUGUUUACCAAAAACACAGCACUCUGCUAACUCGUAAGAGGAUGUAUAGGGUGUGACGCCUGCCCGGUGCUCGAAGGUUAAUUGAUGGGGUUAGCAUUAGCGAAGCUCUUGAUCGAAGCCCGAGUAAACGGCGGCCGUAACUAUAACGGUCCUAAGGUAGCGAAAUUCCUUGUCGGUUAAAUACCGACCUGCAUGAAUGGCGUAACGAGAUGGGAGCUGUCUCAAAGAGGGAUCCAGUGAAAUUGUAGUGGAGGUGAAAAUUCCUCCUACCCGCGGCAAGACGGAAAGACCCCGUGGACCUUUACUACAGCUUGACACUGCUACUUGGAUAAGAAUGUGCAGGAUAGGUGGGAGGCUUUGAGUAUAUGACGCCAGUUGUAUAUGAGCCAUUGUUGAGAUACCACUCUUUCUUAUUUGGGUAGCUAACCAGCUUGAGUUAUCCUCAAGUGGGACAAUGUCUGGUGGGUAGUUUGACUGGGGCGGUCGCCUCCCAAAUAAUAACGGAGGCUUACAAAGGUUGGCUCAGAACGGUUGGAAAUCGUUCGUAGAGUAUAAAGGUAUAAGCCAGCUUAACUGCAAGACAUACAAGUCAAGCAGAGACGAAAGUCGGUCUUAGUGAUCCGGUGGUUCUGUGUGGAAGGGCCAUCGCUCAAAGGAUAAAAGGUACCCCGGGGAUAACAGGCUGAUCUCCCCCAAGAGCUCACAUCGACGGGGAGGUUUGGCACCUCGAUGUCGGCUCAUCGCAUCCUGGGGCUGGAGCAGGUCCCAAGGGUAUGGCUGUUCGCCAUUUAAAGCGGUACGCGAGCUGGGUUCAGAACGUCGUGAGACAGUUCGGUCCCUAUCUGCCGUGGGCGUAAGAAGAUUGAAGAGAUUUGACCCUAGUACGAGAGGACCGGGUUGAACAAACCACUGGUGUAGCUGUUGUUCUGCCAAGAGCAUCGCAGCGUAGCUAAGUUUGGAAAGGAUAAACGCUGAAAGCAUCUAAGCGUGAAGCCAACUCUAAGAUGAAUCUUCUCUAAGCUCUCUAGAAGACUACUAGUUUGAUAGGCUGGGUGUGUAAUGGAUGAAAGUCCUUUAGCUGACCAGUACUAAUAGAGCGUUUGGCUUAUCUUUAAUAAAGCAU